RNAcentral lists this ribosomal RNA (388 nucleotides) under uncultured bacterium. RNAcentral describes it as "bacterial SSU rRNA". It matches the Rfam family "Bacterial small subunit ribosomal RNA", at positions 28 to 417 of the family's 1533-position model. The record is from RNAcentral.
GACGAACGCUGGCGGCGUGCUUAACACAUGCAAGUCGAGUGGUAAGGCCCUUUCGGGGGUACACGAGCGGCGAACGGGUGAGUAACACGUGGGUGACCUGCCCUCAGCUCUGGGAUAAGCCUGGGAAACCGGGUCUAAUACUGGAUAUGACUCCAUGACGCAUGUUGUGGGGUGGAAAGCCUUGUGCGGCUGAGGAUGGGCCCGCGGCCUAUCAGCUUGUUGGUGGGGUGANGGCCUACCAAGGCGACGACGGGUAGCCGGCCUGAGAGGGCGACCGGCCACACUGGGACUGAGACACGGCCCAGACUCCUACGGGAGGCAGCAGUGGGGAAUCUUGCGCAAUGGGCGAAAGCCUGACGCAGCGACGCCGCGUGAGGGAUGACGGCCU